ACGUACAACUACAAGCUUAAAAUCCACUCAACUGGUGACCCCAUUACUUCCCAUUGUGAAUGUCCAGCAGGCAAGGGGCCACAUGGUACAUGUAAGCAUAUUGCAGCAGUUCUAUUACUUCUGCAAUGGUUCACAGAGACGGGCGAAAUUAAAGUAAAGAAGUCAUGCACUGAAAACAUUCAAAAAUUUCAUAAACCUAAAACCAUGUACGAAGGUAAGCCGGUCUUCUCAGAGGAAAUUCCGACAAAAAGAAAGUGUAUGGAUGAAAUGUUGGACGAUCCACGACCUAUAAAACGUCGAAAUAAUGCUGGUUAUACCGAUUAUGUCAGAAACCGUAUGAUCAAUUAUGUUCACCAUUCCUCUCAAGAUCUGGCAAUGCGAUAUUUGUUUCCUGUAACUAACAUUCAGAUUGCAAGUGAAGACCAUAAGUACCUGCCUUUGCCAUUAACAGAAUAUUUGGUUGACAGAGCUAUACAGGUUACGGACCAAACAAUAGAAGAAAUAGAACAAUAUACAAGAAAACAGGCAAAGUGUAAACUGUGGUAUAAUGAAAGAAGGUGGAGAGUAACAGCCCUCGCGUUUCGGGGAUGUAACUAAAAUGACUUGUCGCAGGAAUAUUAAAAAACUAUGUUCAAGCGUAUUCUCUUUCAAUAAAAUUAAUACCAUGCCAAUAAUUCA
Long non-coding RNA from Patella vulgata (common limpet), 678 nucleotides. RefSeq lists it as uncharacterized. The transcript has 4 exons. NCBI's taxonomy places the organism in Eukaryota, Metazoa, Mollusca, Gastropoda, Patellidae. The record is from RefSeq and is a predicted model, not a curated record.